Molecule: ribosomal RNA, 700 nt
Filed under: uncultured bacterium
Lineage: Bacteria
Description: bacterial SSU rRNA
Rfam family: Bacterial small subunit ribosomal RNA
Source: RNAcentral
UGAAGGCCGUGAGGUUGUAAAGUUCUUUUCGGGAGGAGGAAUAAGGUUUGCAGGGAAUGGCAGACUGAUGACGUUAAUCCCGGAAUAAGCCCCGGCUAACUACGUGCCAGCAGCCGCGGUAACACGUAGGGGGCAAGCGUUGUUCGGAAUCAUUGGGCGUAAAGGGCGUGCAGGCGGUGUUGCAAGUCUGGCGUGAAAGAUCUCGGCUUAACCGAGGGAACGCGCUGGAAACUGUAAUACUAGAGUACAGGAGGGGACAUUGGAAUUCCAGGUGUAGGGGUGAAAUCUGUAGAUAUCUGGAAGAACACCGGUGGCGAAGGCGAAUGUCUGGCCAUGUACUGACGCUGAGACGCGAAGGUGCGGGGAGCAAACAGGUUUAGAUACCCUGGUAGUCCGCACAGUAAACGAUGUACACUAGGUGGUGGGUAAUUAUAUUCGCUACCGUAGCUAACGCAUUAAGUGUACCGCCUGGGGAGUAUGCUCGCAAGGGUGAAACUCAAAGGAAUUGACGGGGGCCCGCACAAGCGGUGGAGCAUGUGGUUUAAUUCGAUGAUACGCGAGAAACCUUACCAGGGCUUGACAUAUAUUGGACGAAGUUAGAGAUAACUUUUCCCUUCGGGGUCGAUAUACAGGUGCUGCAUGGCUGUCGUCAGCUCGUGCUGUGAAGUGUUGGGUUAAGUCCCGCAACGAGCGCAACCCU